Molecule: transfer RNA, 78 nt
Filed under: Pseudomonas fluorescens A506
Lineage: Bacteria; Pseudomonadati; Pseudomonadota; Gammaproteobacteria; Pseudomonadales; Pseudomonadaceae
Also listed under: 2 other names
Description: tRNA-Trp
Rfam family: tRNA
About the family: Transfer RNA (tRNA) molecules are approximately 80 nucleotides in length. Their secondary structure includes four short double-helical elements and three loops (D, anti-codon, and T loops).
Source: RNAcentral
UAGGUCAGUAGCUCAAUUGGCAGAGCGACGGUCUCCAAAACCGUAGGUUGGGGGUUCGAUUCCCUCCUGACCUGCCAG